AGCGCAUUUCCAUUAUAUAUUAAAUAACGAUUGUGUAUGCAAAUGUCAAUGGUUGGUAACGCCCAUAAUAUGAAUAUUCAUGAGCUUGACUGAUAUUAUUAUCCUCUAUUCCAGGCACCUUUCCAUUUUGUGUUCUUUGUGCAUUCUUAUCAGAAAUCCUACGUGCGGUAAAUAAGUCUCUGUAUCACCAUUCUCCUUCUUAUUUGUAUGCAGAUUUGGUUAUAAUGAUUGAUAACUGUAAUCAUCCUCAUUAUUUUAAUAAGAAAUUUUUCUAUCUGUGAUGGAAGUUUUUAUGUACGAUUGCCUGAUCUGAAGACGAGACUUUCGCUGCAUGCAUAUUUAAUGUAUGACGUCACCCACACAGAGUGAGAGCUCGAGGUUUUCUUUGAAAGUUUGAUGGAAAAUGUACAGAGACUUGUCGCAGUUAAUGCAGUACCAAAUGCUUGCUUUCUUGGAGUAUGUGCUUGAAACAAUGUCCUGGAGAAAAUAGACCACCACAAGAGAAGGGAUUGAGAAGGAGGGCUUCCUGUUGACAGAUCAGGGGGUGCCUUGAGGUUCCACUCUUGAUGUUCUGCCCCUUACCUGAAAGCGAUGGCCUCUUGUGCCUGACAUAUUAGGAGCAAAGCA
RNAcentral lists this long non-coding RNA (627 nucleotides) under Strongylocentrotus purpuratus (purple sea urchin). RNAcentral's name for it is "uncharacterized LOC115926766". Lineage: Eukaryota; Metazoa; Echinodermata; Echinoidea; Camarodonta; Strongylocentrotidae. The record is from RNAcentral.